CAAUCAUAUGCCUUUCAGGGGCUCUUGGGACCAAGUCGAUAAUCUGUGCGCAAGAGGUUGGCCUUCAAGCCUUUCCAAAAGGCCAUGGCAUGGUAGCUUCUGUCACACAGCAUAAUAGUCAAACGCCAAGUCAAGCCAAAAGGAAGAAAUUAUUGUGGGAGGAAGAAAUAAGGUUAGCAAAGAGCUUGGUUGCAAAAUGUUGACUAG
Non-coding RNA from Pelobates cultripes (western spadefoot toad), 207 nucleotides. NCBI's taxonomy places the organism in Eukaryota, Metazoa, Chordata, Amphibia, Anura, Pelobatidae. The record is from the annotation of a GenBank genome assembly.